UACGAAGGGGGCUAGCGUUACUCGGAUUCACUGGGCGUAAAGGGCGCGUAGGCGGCUUGUACAGUCAGACGUGAAAUUCCUGGGCUCAACCUGGGGGCUGCGUUUGAUACGUGCGGGCUUGAGUUCGGAAGAGGGUCGUGGAAUUCCCAGUGUAGAGGUGAAAUGUGUAGAGAUCGGGAGGAACACCGGUGGCGAAGGCGGGUCUCUGGGCAAUUCCUGACACUGAGGCGCGAAAGCGUGGGGAGCAAACGGG
Molecule: ribosomal RNA, 253 nt
Filed under: uncultured bacterium
Lineage: Bacteria
Description: partial 16S ribosomal RNA
Rfam family: Bacterial small subunit ribosomal RNA
Source: RNAcentral